This 85-nucleotide transfer RNA is filed under the name Thiorhodococcus minor. Its description in RNAcentral is "tRNA-Leu". It matches the Rfam family "tRNA". Rfam says of the family: Transfer RNA (tRNA) molecules are approximately 80 nucleotides in length. Their secondary structure includes four short double-helical elements and three loops (D, anti-codon, and T loops). Lineage: Bacteria; Pseudomonadati; Pseudomonadota; Gammaproteobacteria; Chromatiales; Chromatiaceae. The record is from RNAcentral.
GCCCGGAUGGCGAAAUUGGUAGACGCAAGGGACUUAAAAUCCCUCGACUUCGGUCAUGCCGGUUCGAGCCCGGCUCCGGGCACCA